CCUACGGGAGGCAGCAGUGAGGAAUAUUGGUCAAUGGACGAGAGUCUGAACCAGCCAAGUAGCGUGAAGGAUGACUGCCCUAUGGGUUGUAAACUUCUUUUAUAUGGGAAUAAAAUGUUCCACGUGUGGGAUUUUGUAUGUACCAUAUGAAUAAGGAUCGGCUAACUCCGUGCCAGCAGCCGCGGUAAUACGGAGGAUCCGAGCGUUAUCCGGAUUUAUUGGGUUUAAAGGGAGCGUAGGUGGAUUGUUAAGUCAGUUGUGAAAGUUUGCGGCUCAACCGUAAAAUUGCAGUUGAAACUGGCAGUCUUGAGUACAGUAGAGGUGGGCGGAAUUCGUUGUGUAGCGGUGAAAUGCUUAGAUAUCACGAAGAACUCCGAUUGCGAAGGCAGUUCACUGGACUGCAACUGACACUGAGGCUCGAAAGUGUGGGUAUCAAACAGGAUUAGAUACCCGUGUAGUC
Molecule: ribosomal RNA, 460 nt
Filed under: uncultured bacterium
Lineage: Bacteria
Description: partial 16S ribosomal RNA
Rfam family: Bacterial small subunit ribosomal RNA
Source: RNAcentral